GUGUUAUUAUAAUAUCAUAAUGAUUCCAACUAAAUAGCAGCUAUUUGUAAAUGGUUAAGACUAUAACUCCUUUGUGUUAUUAUAAUAUCAUAAUGAUUCCAACUAAAUAACAGCUAUUUUUAGUCGGACCCUUUUUUUUACAGCAUAUAAACACAUAACAUAUUGUAAGUAUUAUAAUAAGAUAUUAUCCAGAUCAUCUGACAUAAAAAGAAAAUGGGACAGUUUGAUGAAAAAGCUUUAAAUAAAGUUUAAAAUCCAGGCAUGUCACAUGACUACGCAAAACAGCGCCCUAGGGCUCAUUAUUCUUAUAACAAGUAAUGAAGCAUUAUACCCACUGGCUGUAAGCAGUGUUACCGUUCAUGGUUUACACACACAUGAUAUGUUGGUUAACAAAGUACCUGAUAAUGGUUUAUUAGCGUGUAUAAACAGACCUUCACAUGAAUAGUUUAUCAGAUCAAUUGAAGAAAUGUUGGGAAUGACCAAAAAAUGUUAUCAGAAAGAUUUGAAUAAGGGCAAUUCAGACUGGUUGAUAAUCUAAACCAGACUUGUUUCUAUGAUAAAGGAUGUGGUUUGAGAUCAACUUGCAACAGAUAUAACAGUGGUUCAGAUCACGAAUAGAAGGAGUGCUUAUACUGUGCAAGAUAGUGGCUAUAUUGUACAGAAGGGUUAUUCUUUGGGAUAGCCAUAGGAGAAUGCGCCUGUGUAGAUGAAUCCAAAGAUAAAGCCUAUCAUAGAUUAUCUAUUAAUCACAAUAAUUACACAUUCCCCUCUCAGGGUUAAACCUGAGAGACUGGAGAGAGUUGGUUGGUGUGCCUGUGUUCAUUUUUCUGUCUGUGUGUUUGUGUCUGUAUGUGUGCCUGUGUUCAUUUUUCUGUCUGUGUGUUUGUGUCUGUAUGUGUGCCUGUGUUCAUUUUUCUGUCUGUGUGUUUGUGUCUGUAUGUGUGCCUGUGUUAAUUUUUCUGUCUGUGUGUUUGUGUCUCAUGCUGUGGCUGUGAGGCUGAGCGAGACACAAUCCAACAAUGGAGCUGUAGCCAGACAGCUCUGUCUCUCUGCACUGCAACGCUUCAGAUCGGGGCGAGACGCCUCAGCGCUGCUGUUUG
RNAcentral lists this long non-coding RNA (1100 nucleotides) under Salmo salar (Atlantic salmon). RNAcentral's name for it is "lncRNA (ENSSSAG00000090601.1, ENSSSAG00000096372.1)". The record is from RNAcentral. Lineage: Eukaryota; Metazoa; Chordata; Actinopteri; Salmoniformes; Salmonidae.